This is a non-coding RNA of Peromyscus maniculatus bairdii (prairie deer mouse), 809 nucleotides long. Lineage: Eukaryota; Metazoa; Chordata; Mammalia; Rodentia; Cricetidae. The record is from RefSeq and is a predicted model, not a curated record.
AGCAGCCCCCAGAUCGAGUGGUGUUCAGGUGUUCAGACCAGUUGUCUCCCUCAACCCCGCAACCCUGCUGCCUGGCACACGGAUGGGAGCAGCUUCCUCCAAGAAGGAGAACGGAGGGCCGGAGCAGCCGUCACCACCGAAUCGGAGAUAGUUUGGACCUCACCACUGCCACCUGGAACAUCGGCCCAAAAGGCAGAGCUGAUCGCGCUGACCCAGGCCCUCCGGAUGGCGGAAGCCCGGAGGACCAGAAACGAACAAAGAAAAUGGGGGCGGAAUGGAGCCCCGAGCGACAAGCUUACAUCAUAGAUGGACAGAGGCCUUGCCUACCAAAAAAAAAAAGACCGCUAACAUGGUAACCAAGAAACUCCUGGAUGACAUCUUUCCCAGGUAUGAAAUACCCCAGAUAUUGGGGUCAGACAAUGGGCCUGCCUUCGUCUCCCAGCCCUCCAAUUGAUACAAAAGACGAUAUAAAAACCCCUGCCUGCCGGGAGCAACUGAACCGCCCGGUGGUGCCUCACCCAUUCAAGAUUGGAGACUCUGUCUGGGUCCGACGCCAUCAAUCUAGAAACCUAGAGCCGAGGUUGACGGGACAGCGGCUUGGGUCCACGCGUCACAUGUGAAGGCUGCCAAGGAACCUGACGAAGCUGAGGGCACCGAGACAUCUAGUUCAACGCUCUCCAAACCCACUAAAGAUAAGACUCACCCGGGGGUCCCCUUGAUCCCCCUAAUAGUCCUCCUGACAUUAGGAGAAACAUCACCAGAGAGCCUGUUUCCCUGACGCUGGCCCUGUUACUGGGAGAAAUUACCAU